AGUAUGUAUGGCCCCGUGAGUGGGAUAUAGCUUUAAAGAACCUCCUACGUUUUGGUCCCUCACUGCACAUAGGACUAAUGUUUGCAGGCUCUAUCUACCAUCAUUACUUUUUUUACUCCAACAUUUAUAUAUAUAUAUGGAACCCAUUAAGUGUAAUCACUUUUUGAAUCAUUCUUGUCUAUUGGAUCAUGCUGAAAAUAAAUCCCGACCCUUUAAACUCCUAUUUUUAACUGCUAACAUAGCAGUUCACAGCAGUUUCAUAGUCUCCACAUUUUUCUGCCCAUGUUCUCCACAAAUCAUGUUUUCUAAUCUGGUCCACGUUCUAAUUGUUCCAAACUCAUUCAAACUCCCCAAAACCACCGUUCUGCUCCUUUUCUUGUAAUGCUUUUUAAACCAUCAUCGUUGACGCUCCAAUACUCCGACAAUCCAUCCGUAGUAACAACAAGAGAGCAAUCAAUCCUGCACUCACCACGUCAAUAGCAAUGGCCACCGGUUUGGUCUGGCUGGAGCUUCUUAAUGUUAUUGGCGGGCCACAAAGGGGAAGACUAACGAAUUUCUACACAUCGUACCCGUAUAAUGUUUCGAUUUGAAAUCUGGUUCGUACGACACUGGGGUUUAGUUCUUAUUUGAAGAUGCAGAGACAAAGAAUGAUUUCAGGUGUUCGACAAAAUGCCAAAAAGAAAUUUAGUAUCAUGGAAGGUUAUUGCCUUCACUGGAAAUGCCCUACAGCAACAUGGAGGUUUACAAGCAAAUAAUUUGUGGGUAAGAUUCAUACACGUGAAGAUGGUGGUAAGUAUAUUGGAGAAUUUAAAGGAGGUAUUAAACAUGGGCUUGGGCCUUGCCCACUAUCAUUUCAGCUAUUAGAUCAGAACGAGGUGCAAAAUCUACUCCCAUCAACCCUUAAAGCCCAAAGUUGUGGAUUGAAAGUUGUACUGGAUGGUUUAAGAGCCAGGUGAUGGAGUAUAAGGCAGAAAAUGAAGUAGAAGCUUAUGACACAACCAAGAUACUUACUUUGGAAAUUUGAUUGGCGCUUAAGAAAGUCUUCAAAUUAGCUAAUAUGAAUUUCAGAGGUGAACACCAAAACGUGGGUGAUGGAAAAGAAAGCAGAAAAUGAAGCAGAAGCGUUGAAGUGGGUGUGGAGGCUUGAGAACAUUAAUGAUACUUUCAUGGAGAACCUAUGGUACCUGACUUGGUAUACUUCAACUAUCCUUAUUUUAUCAUUAACUAUAUUUUACCAGUAGUUAAAUUUGUAUGAUUAUAAAGUCUUAACUGUAAAAAUUGAUGGGAAUGACCCAAUCUGCAUGUUAUAUAAUAUUAGUUCAGUUUUAACUCCAAAUAACGUGAUAAGUAAAUAUGUGUCAUAUCAUUCACUUAUCUCUUAAGAUAUACAAGGAUCUAUACUGAACCAUAGUUUGCGUUCUGUUACCUAUUAUAAUUGAAAAAUAGACUCAGGUCACUACUUGGGUCUGCUUAUUUAUUGGAUAUAGAAAAAUGGAUGGGAUGACUCAUUUUGGUAAUAGACUUAUUUAUUGGAUAUAGAAAAAUGGAUGGGAUGACUCAUUUUGGUAAUAGACUGGUCAAAAUGAGUGCUUCUAAUUAGAGGUAGCAACAUGUACACGCGGUUAGCUUAAAUAAUAGCGUCAAGAUGUUCGGCUUAACCGUACACGCUGCAAAAACAGGUUGGUCAAGCCAACCUGGAUAUUGCUUAACAUGCUGAGCCUACACAUGGUAUAAUAAUAUACCAGCCGGAAGCAUUCACCCAUGGAGAUAGAUGGUCAAAAAUCCAUCUAGAAAGAGCACACAAAAGCUUAAUCUAUGGUUUUGUAAAUGGGAAAAUACGUUUUUGUUAAAAUGAGUGCUUUUUAUUAAAAAAUAUCCACGUCAAACUGGAAGUUUGUUUAUUCAUUUAGGGGUAAUAAACCUAGUGGUAGAUUAAAGUGAUUUGGAGAUAGAUGUAUAACUUCAUUGGCCCUUUGAGGAAGUCGAGACUUUGAGAUAAAAAGGCCAGAAGAGAUUGAGCUAGAGCCCAAUUCCAUUAAUUCACUCGAUACAGGAACAACUACACAGGUUUUAUACUUCUAUUAUCAAUUUUAAUUUCUAUCGUUUUGUGGUUGUAAACUGUUGACGUUCGUUUUCCAUUUAUAAAUUAAAGAAUGGUGCUUUUGUUUGUCACAUUGUUUAAUUUUGUGUACGCUUAACAUAUGUUAGCUUGGUUUGUCACGUUGUACGCUUAACAGGUACAUUGUUCUACUAUCCACCCAUAGUUAUUGAUGCAUUUGUUUUAAAGCUCGAGACAUCAUAAUUUUCAUUUCAUUUCAUAGUGUUUAUGAGUUUUUCUAUAACAAUCAUCAGACCAUUGGAUGCACGUGGGAUCCACAAAGUAUGGGUGCUAAACGGGUCGUGUUCACGGGUUGGCAAGUUCAACCCGACACGAACCCGAAAACUUUAGACGGACCCGAACCUGAAAAUCGUGCCAUAUAUAUGAACCUGAACCCGACCCGAAUAUUCGCAUACUGACCCGAAACCAACCCGUUCAACCCGAAUUUUUUAUUUUUUUAUUUUUUUUCAGCAAAUUAAUAUAUUAAUAUUAUACAAUAAAAUUACAUUAAAAUCAUAAAAAUUUAUGUCAACUUCAAUUUUUAAGUUAUAUUUAUAGCAUAAAAUACACACCCAACUUAAUUUAUCACAAUAAACAUAUUUUAAAAAAUAUAAUAUAAUAGAAAUGAGUUAAACGGGUCAACCCGUCAACCCGACUGGGUUGACCCGAACCUGACCUAUUUAGCUAAACGGGUUCGCGGGUUCAAACUGAAACUGACCCGAACCCGUUUAGACUAAACCCAAACCCACGAAUUUCGUGUUAGGUUCGUGUCGUGUUUUCGGGUCGUGUCAGAAAUUCACACCCCUACCACAAAGGCAAAGUUUCUUUCGCUUUCAGUUUGCCUAAAUGCAGGUGUCUCUUCACCAGAAUUUAUACUCAGAAGAGAAUUUGUAAGAGUUCUAUAAACAGAAGACAUGAACAAAAUCAGACUAGAGAGAUGGUUGUAUGAAGUUAUAGUUGAAAGGUGUUGGUGGAAAGCAAAAUCCCUAUUGAAAUCCAUAAAAAUGCACAGCCACAGUGCCAUCACUAAGGAGAAAGAUAUGCCUUGGUGUUAGUUUCCAACACCAGGAUUUAUUCAGGAGAUAAUUUUUAAAGAUGGAUUCGACAAAUCAUGGGAGUCUAUCAGAUCGUAUCAUGAGUUACGAUGGUGAUUCUUCAAGGGAAAUGGUUGAAUCUGCAUUUGAGUCUGCAAAAAUUUUUAUAAAAUUGUCACUUAUGUCACUACCACAAUUUUGAAUUUUCCUGUGAAAGUAAGCAAUCCCGUAAUGAUGGUUCAAGCAUAUCAUCUUCUUGUGGCUAAAAUGUAUGUUUAGUGUAGGGAUUGUGUCAAUAUAUAUAUUAAGCCCAAGCAGCCUAACCGUCAUUGAUAUCAAUCCCCACCGUUAGAUAUUGCUGAAACUAAAUCCUGACCGUUUAAACUCCACUUUUUUAACUGUUGUUGUGGCAGUUGUGGGCGGUUUAUUUCUCAUCGUUGGUUAACCCACUCUCCUUUUUCUCAUCCUAAAUCCUUGCUACCACAACCGCACCUCCCGUAGGUUCUUUAACGGUUCGUCCCCAAACCUUCCAUUCUCAUUCUUAGAUUUACAUUCUUCAACUGUUCACCCAAACCCUGCAGCGAUUCAAAGUUCAUCCAACUUUACAAUCUCUUCUGCCUUAUUUCUUAUACUCUUUAUCUUUUUAUAUUUCUGGGAAAUUAGUGUGGAUCAAGCAAGCAUGACUUCUGUUGCAAAAGUAUUGAAGGUUUGACCCGACCGGGUCUUUAAGUACAUCUUACAAGUUAUCAUAAUCCGGUGGAUGGGUUACGCUAACAGCGUAACAAUGCUCCACCCGUGUCAUCCACUCCACCGGUAUCCAUUUUUAGGGCAUCCACACCGCUUACUACCACAAAUCACCGUCGCUCUUCCCAAACCUGUGUCACCUACAAACCAACUCUACUUUUCUUAGACUAUACGGAGGGGGGGCAUGAAAGAGUUGCGUUAUUCGACAUGUGACUUGCACGUCAGCACAUGUAAGAAAAAAGUGGCGUGGUGCAAAAAAGGGAGGAGUGGGAGCGGCGUGGUUAGUGACAUUUUUAUAAAAAAAAACUAAUAAUAAAUAUCAACCAAAACACAUCCGAUAUCCACCCACCAAUCAAGAGCCUCCACCUCACAACCCAAAUACACCCUACGCCGGUGGAAAACUCCACGCCCUCACUACCACGCCACCACAAGAGGUGGUGUUCUCGGUUAAAAGGGCCACUACGCCACUAUUCCACGCCCACACCACGUGGUCUCAAGAAUUAAAUAUCCUCAUAUUACUCUUGAAACACUGAAAAGUUGAUUGCACAUCAAAAGUUAAAGGUCAAAAACUAAUUGACAUAAUUAAUUGUAAUAAAAAUCAGUUUUAAUCCGUA
Long non-coding RNA from Helianthus annuus (common sunflower), 4490 nucleotides. RefSeq lists it as uncharacterized. Lineage: Eukaryota; Viridiplantae; Streptophyta; Magnoliopsida; Asterales; Asteraceae. The record is from RefSeq and is a predicted model, not a curated record. The transcript is spliced from 8 exons.